Molecule: transfer RNA, 59 nt
Filed under: Caprella mutica
Lineage: Eukaryota; Metazoa; Arthropoda; Malacostraca; Amphipoda; Caprellidae
Description: tRNA-Thr
Source: RNAcentral
GUCCUUGUAGUUUAAUUAAAACUUUAGUCUUGUAAACUAACAUUGCUUGUCUAAGGACU